UGAACCGUCUCGCUUAAUCCCCAGGUUUGGGGAACGGGGGAACCGAUACAGAUUUUGGACGGGAACAAUAGCCCGACUUCUGUAUUAUGAUUUCUAUUUUCGGGUCUUUGGGGUGAAUUUGAAGGUGUCCGCCAUGAGCGGGGGCCAGAGAUAGGGCGUCUCUCUUACGUCCGAACCCGACAGCUAACUCCGUAAGCGUAAGUAAGAGAGGCA
Molecule: small RNA, 213 nt
Filed under: Paenibacillus sp.
Lineage: Bacteria; Bacillati; Bacillota; Bacilli; Caryophanales; Paenibacillaceae
Description: c-di-AMP sequence
Rfam family: c-di-AMP riboswitch aptamer (ydaO/yuaA leader)
About the family: This family represents a conserved RNA structure found upstream of the ydaO and yuaA genes in Bacillus subtilis and related genes in other bacteria. The ydaO/yuaA element is thought to act as a genetic "off" switch for the ydaO and yuaA genes in its native state.
Source: RNAcentral